Molecule: transfer RNA, 73 nt
Filed under: Capra hircus (goat)
Lineage: Eukaryota; Metazoa; Chordata; Mammalia; Artiodactyla; Bovidae
Also listed under: 3 other names
Rfam family: tRNA
About the family: Transfer RNA (tRNA) molecules are approximately 80 nucleotides in length. Their secondary structure includes four short double-helical elements and three loops (D, anti-codon, and T loops).
Source: Rfam by way of RNAcentral
UCCCUGGUGGUCCAGUGAUUAAGACUCUGUGCUUCCAAUACAGAGGGUGCAGGUUCAAGCCCUGGUCUGGGAA